This 266-nucleotide long non-coding RNA is filed under the name Carica papaya (papaya). RNAcentral's name for it is "long non-coding RNA (CPAP_LNC000651)". Lineage: Eukaryota; Viridiplantae; Streptophyta; Magnoliopsida; Brassicales; Caricaceae. The record is from RNAcentral.
UCAAUCAGUUUAGGAGUAAUAAAUAGGACGGAAGUAGAGGCUAAAGCAAAGGGCUUCUUGGAAGCUUUCCCAAAAGUGAGAGUGAAACAAGGGUCCCUGUCUGACACCACAAAAAAAGAAUGCCAUGGAGUUAGACAAUCUCAUUGACAUAUAAUCGAGUCAACUUACUAGUUGAGUUAGUAGUCUUAAUUGCAAAAAAAUGGGCAGACCUGGUCAAUUUGUCCAUAAUGACCUAUAUGGCAUUACAAUUAGAGCUGGUUCUCAGU